UGCACUGCGAUCAGUUGAGUUCGCGCGCGCGGUCAUCGGCUCGAUUGGAUUUCGCAGAUUCGCCGGCGCAAGUGUGCCUACACUAUGGCGCGCGGUGCGGCAGUAGACAGUAUGACCACGUCAGGUGUGAGCCCGCGCAAAGGAGGAUCUGCAGCAGAACCGUUACAUUAUAUUACCAAAUCCAUCUCCAAAUGAACUCAAUUGAUGAAAUCCAAUGAUUAAUUUAUUUAUAUUAACAAAUAAGAAAUCAUAAUCUGCAUACCAGCAAACCAUUUUGAUGUUGCCCGCAUUCAACCCGCUCCACCACGACAUGAUGAUUGAUUAGAGAUUGCGCUGCGUUUCGUUGUACCCAACAUCUCAAAGAGCCCGUCAAAUAGUGGUCAUACUAUACAAAAGCCGAACUUUUACUUGACUACUUUGACUUUUACCCUAACGGAUAUGACCGAUCAUUUUCCUACAAUGCAUCUUAUUGAAGAAAAUAAUAACUCCAUUAUAAAUAUAGAAUUUGAUACAGUCGAGAUCAGAAAUAUAAUUAAUAUUGACCACUUAAAUAUUAUGCUUCUUAGUAUAGAAAUCUGGGAUAUAAUAUUAUAAAAUAUUAAUAUUAAUAAA
Long non-coding RNA from Rhopalosiphum maidis (corn leaf aphid), 612 nucleotides. RefSeq lists it as uncharacterized. The record is from RefSeq and is a predicted model, not a curated record. Lineage: Eukaryota; Metazoa; Arthropoda; Insecta; Hemiptera; Aphididae. The transcript is spliced from 3 exons.